Zeugodacus cucurbitae (melon fly) is the source of this 1833-nucleotide long non-coding RNA. RefSeq lists it as uncharacterized. The record is from RefSeq and is a predicted model, not a curated record. The transcript has 5 exons. Lineage: Eukaryota; Metazoa; Arthropoda; Insecta; Diptera; Tephritidae.
CUCAAUGCAGAUCUGCAGUGCAUGUUAAAUUUGACUUUCUCUGUCCAGAACCAAUGCUGAAAACAUUCUAUUUUUAAGCAAUGUCUGGGAGCAUUCUAAAUUGCGCUCGCCUGUUCAUUGAAAGUAAAGAAAAGUUCUGUUUUCUACUGCUACCUAUUGACAGUUAGUCAAGUUUCUGCUUUUUUAACCCAAUAUUGUAUUCAUUAAAAUAGCACUCAGAUGUUUCCUUGCUAAUUGCUACUAUUUUUCCGUUUCGUUACUUUCGUUCUUUGUAAAAGUAACUUGUCAAUGGCACUUUCUGAUAACCAGCAGAUACCAGCAGUUAAGAAACACUCUUAUACAUGUAUGGCAAAACCAAUGAUGUACUUUUCAAACAUUACUGCACAUUUAGUUUAACUGUAGAAAUUUCUGCAUGCCGAAUAUCUUCACAUGUCCCUACAAGACGGAGCUAACUCAUACACCACUACACAUGCAAAUUUUUUCAGCUUUUACCAAUACAUACACAUUGCUAACAUUUUGUAGUUAAGUGGCAAUCUCGGUAGUUAGAGUAGCAAAAUUCAAUAACCCUAAUUUUUGUAUGUGUAAGAGAGAGACGCAAUGAACCGUUCAAAAAUCGCCGCCAUGGCCGCUGUUCAUUUCAAAAUAAAAUUUAAAGUGAAUGGAUUUAUACGUGUGUGCACAGGAAAGGAAGAGCAAGGAGGUGACGUUGGAAUUGGUGGAGGUUUUUGGAUUUAGCACUGGUGCAAUAUAUAUAACAACAACGCAGAAACAAUGGAUAAUAACAUGAUAUUGAAAACACAAAGGCGUUAGGCGUCAAUUGGUCCUUCCAUCGGAGUGGAGGUCUCCCUCUUCCUCGGCUUCCACCGGCGGGUACCGCAUCGAAAACUUUCAGAGCUGAGGCACUUUCGUCCAUUCGAACAACAUGACCAUGCCCGCGUAGCCGCUGUCUUUUUUUCGCUGGACUAUGCCUAUGUCGUCUAACAACACAUACAGCUCAUCAUUUCAUCUUCUGCGGUAUUCGCCGUUGCCAAUGUUUAAGAGACCAUAAAUCCCCAAAACCUUUCUCUCGAAAACUCCUAGUGCCGUCUCAUCGGAUGUUGACACCGUCCACGCUUCUGCACCAUAAAGUAGGACGGGAAUGAUGAGGGAUUUGUAGAGUUUAGUUUUUGCUCAUCGAGAGAGGACUUUACUUUUUAAUUGCCUACUCAGACCAUAAACACAAAAACUUUGCACAAAUGGAGGAUUACAAUAGCUACAACUUUUCUUAGGCAUGAUAAACAAGACAACAACAAAUCCCAUCGGACAUUUAGAUUAGCAGUUGCACAACUUCUUUCCGACGAGCUGAACCUUUUUAUGAUGUACAUAUGGGAUAGGAUUGUAUGGAAUUGACAUUUAUUAGUUUCGUUGGAUCCUUACAGGAUAGUUAUAAGGAAAUCGUUCGCGUUUAGUAUUAAUUUAUUCAUUUGCUAAUCCAUAAUUUAGAUGUAAAAUAUUAUUAAAUUAUACAAAUGAAUGUUCGAAUACUAAUAACAUUCGUAAUAAUAAUGGAAUUUCAUUUGAAUUGUAUAACAACAACUACAAAAAAUAAAAAUGUAAUAAUUAAUACUAAAUUUAUAUAUGAAAUAUGUAAAAAGUAAAAAUUUAAUAAUUAAUACUAACUUUAUUUUUAAAAUAUAUAAAUUUUGUCAAUGUAUAAAUAUAAAUGUAUAAAAAUUCAAUGUAUAAAUAGCUGCAAAAACGUUUGUAAAAAGUUCACUUUGUACUGAAAUGCUAAUAUUUAAAAAUUAAUCUAUAAUGAUUAUUAAAAAUUUUAAAUAUUAUACAAUACUAAUU